AUGCUAGAGUUAGUUGUAAUUUUUAUUGGAAAGUUCAAAGAGGAAUUGAUGGAUUUGUGUUUGGCUUUUCACAGGGACAAAAAAAGAGACAAAGAAAAGGUCAAAGAAAAAGAAAAGGCCAAAGAGAGAGACCGAGACAAAGAGAAGGAGAGAAACCGGAACAGAGACCAAGAAAGGGAAAGAGAGCGAGAUAAAGAGAGAAACAGGGAUAAGGACAAGGAGAGGGACUGGGAGAGAGAGAAAGAGCGAAACAAGGAUCGAGGGAGAGUUAGGGACAAGGAUAAGGAUAAAUAUAGGGACUGGGAAAAGGCCAAAGAUAAUGAGAAGGAAAAAGACAGGGAAGAGGUAGACCAGAACAAGGAAAAAUAUGAUGUUGAGAAAGAGGGGGAGAAAGACAGAGAGAAGAUUAAGGACAAAGAGGGAGAUAAGGGCAGAGGGGACAAAGAGAAGGACAGAGACAAAGAAAAGGAAAAAGAUGAGGAUAAGGAGAAGAAGGAGCAAGAAAGUGAAAAAGAGAGAGAUGAUAAAAACAAGAAAGAGAAGAGAUCCAGAACACCCCCAAGAAGCUAUAGCUCUUCAAGAAGAUCUCGUAGCUCCAGCAGAGAAAGGUGUAAAAGGAAGAGUAGAAGUCCCUCCAAGUCUCCUAAAAGAACAAAAAGAAAGUCUUCACAAACUCCUUCUCCAAGAAGAAACAAGAAAGAAAAGAAAAGAGAAAAGGAUACAAAUAAUGAAAGAAGAGAAGGGGAACACUCUACCUCCAAGAAAAAAAGUAGUAAAGAAAAAGAGGGAAAGGAGAAAUCUGACAAAAGCACCACUACUUUCAAGGACAAACAUCACACUAAAGAAGAUCUGAAUUCAGAAACUGACAAGGAAGUAGGCAAUAGAGAUACGCAAGAGACAGAUGAAGUCAAACUACAACAGAAUGGGAACUGUCAGCCAAAUGAUGAAAACCUCUCAAUUAAAAUGGAAGAGGUUUAAAGCAAAGAAUGGACCUAUGACUCAAUUAAGGAAUGAUAUCCAAAGCUUUUUAUUUCUCAGAACAAGGAAGAAAAUGUCAAAGCAAUCAGCCUGAAUAUGGUGAUAGUACUAGUAGCUCUUCCAAUUCUUGUGAUAGCUUUCUUGAUUUCUUGCUGUAAAGCAAGAGAGCACAGACCAGUAGUUAUACCAUGAAAAGUCAGAUGCCAUCAGAACUAUUAAUCUCUGAAAAUCCAUGCAUUUCCAUGAUGGCUGUACUAAUUUUUAAAAUGAUUUAUGUUAAGUUUUGCCAUAAGCUGUUACAAAUACAUAGAAACUAAAAGAUGUAAACCUGUACUAUCCAAAAAAAAGCUGAAGAUAUGCAUUUAAGGUUGUUUAAAAUACUGCUUGUUGAUGAAUUUUGUAUUGCUUUACUUUAUGGGUUAAAAAACUCACAAAAACUUCAGUGUGUACUGUUUGAUAUGCUUGGAAAAGGUGCAUAAAUAUACUCUUUAUUUUGUUAUAAAUUAAAACUACAGAAAAAUGUUUUUUAAACAUAAAUGCAGUUUUAUGGAUCUUAUUUUAAAUGCCCGAUGACUAGUUUUUUUUUCAUUUGUUCACUGAUUGAGAUUCUUGGGUUUUAUUUAAGACAAUUUCUCACUAAUAUCCCUAAAAAUAAUAUUUCUUUUAAAGUAUUUGAACAAUGCAUGUUACUUUUCUGUUCCAAAAAGGAACAUUGCCGUGUUAUAGAUAAUAGGUUAGCUUACUGGGUUAUUUUGGAGUUGGUUUGUUGUUUAUUUUUGUCUUUAUAGAAGUGAGCACAUCUGCAUGAUAUUAUUACAACCUACAGCUUUGUUUUGAGCCGUACUGUGUAUGUUCAGCUGUAAAUAGUACAGGUGCCAUUAUGAAAAUAAUUUUUUCUUAUUUGUUUAAAAAAAAUAUGGGAGCGCAAGCAGAAGCUUUAGUGCCUUCUUAAAAUAAUGUGGUACCUUCUAGAAAUGUAUAUGUGCUAUUACUCAUUUUCAGUUAAAUCUUAUAUGAUCUCUAUUGCCAUUUUGCCACCACCAUGCUGUAGACAAGAAUGCAAGUGAUUUGUCAGAAUGAUUGAUUCACUUGUUAAAAUACUAAAACUCCAUUUUUACUUCUGUUUUUUAUUUUUAGAAGAUAUUUAUAGGUGAAAGCAAAGGUGCAUUUUGGGGACAACCACUGUACAAAAGUAGUAGCUGGAUACAAAGCAUUUUCUGAUCACCUGCAUCAAAGACAGCCCUUUAGAAAUUUAAUCUACAUUUGGGUGGCCUUAAUUGUUACCUCUCCAUCAUAAUCUCUAAUACUUGUUGAGUGAUAUAAAAGGAAUCAUAUGCAAAGUUGAGGGGAUAAAUAAUUUGGGCAAAAAAAUCUAAUUUACAUAAGAGUUAUAUGGUAGAGAUUCUUUUUUCAUUCUUUAAAGAGAAAGCAUGUAAGAAGAGAAUGACAAAGCAAAUACUUUUGUCAAGGUAAAACAUGGCUUGUGCUCUCUGAACUAAUUUAAUCAGUUUCAUCAUUGUAAGAUUUCUUAAGAGUCAUACCUUUAAAAUUUAUACCUAAAAUCAAGUAGAUUAUUUUUAAUACAACUUAAUACAAUCAACUGACUUCAUUGCCUUACCUCAUGGGAAGUGUUAUUUCUUUCAGUUAAAAAAAAUCUUAAUAGCAUAUCAGCUAUUUGCAACACAGUUUGGCUGUGAAGCUGCUUAAUCACUCUUUUUUUUUUUUAAUAGGAUUUUAUGUUCUUGCUACUGUGUACGUUUAAGGCUAUAGAAAAUGCUUUACUAUGUAAAGUAUAGACAGUCAUUUCUGUGAUGUUUAAGCCACAUGUUGUUGACUGGUAAACAACUUAUUCUGAUAAGAAUGGCAAAUCUGUAUGCUUAUAGAAAGACUGUGAAGGAUUGUGUCUUACAACAACAGCUGUCUUAUGAUGUGUAAGUAGCACAGAGUAAAGAGAUUCUUUGUAUACUUGUUAUUUUUGGUACCAUUUCACUAAUAAAAUUUAAGUAUUUUAGAGGGAAGUUUCUGCUAUUACAUACUUUUAGUUGAUCUGGUCUUAUUCAGGCAGCUUCUUUGAUUUGAAAUGUGGAUACAAGUGAAAAUAUACAUGUGUUAUUUAGAAUAUCUUUGAAAAACUAAGUUUCUCCUUUGAGAGAAAUUAGAGUUCUUGCAGUGUAUCACGUUUCAGCUGAGAUGAGUUUGUUUUCUGGAGUUAUUUUAUCCUGUAAUUGAAUAGCUCUAUUAUAUAGUGGUUAAAGAAUAUGUAAAGGAUUGUGUACAGUUAGCUAAGAAACAUGCCUUAUGAAAAUUAAUAGUUAAGGAUGGUAGCCUUACUAGCUAACUUAUCACGUGUAAGUCAAUAUGCAGCACAUUGUUAUAUUGUAUGUGAAUUAAUGAUUCCCUUACAAAAAAAAAUUUAAAGGCAAACAAACAAACAAACAAAAGAAAAUGCACCAAGCACAUAAAUUUCCUCCCUACCCCACCCCAACUCAUAUUUUCUUACAAAUGCUGUAUUUUCUCAUUUUGCUUUGUAAAUACUGUGCAAAUCUCUAAAGUAUUUAAGUUAUAUCUAUUCAUAUUAGGUGUUUUAUGGUUCCCCUCUUCCUAAAAAGCCACCACUGGAGAACUAAUAUUCUGCAAAAUGCCUAUCUCUGCAGAGGGUAGCUCAUUUUGAAACCAGUAGCAUAGCACAAUAAUAAAGUUCCUGCUUGCUCCGCCAGGAUUAUGUGCAUCAUCUAUUAAAUGUGUACAUCUUCCACUGGAAGCCCAUUGCCUUCAUUGUUAAUAAGUUUGCAUACUGUGCUGCCAUGUCAGGUUGUUUGGUUUUGCACUGUAUAAAUGAGAUGAAAUUGAGUGGAGAUUUUGAGAACAGUGUAUGAUAGCUACAUUGUUUUAAAUGUAAUUUCAUUUGAAUCAGCCUUUAUUUGAAAAUGUGACCCAUAAUUGCUCAGAAAAGUGAUGAUAUGGUGCUAUUUUGCUAAGACCGUGUAAAGCACUUACGUGGAAGCUUCCAUUAGCAACCACAGUUAUUUCACGACAGUGUUUCUGGAAAGCAGAUAGGAUUUUUCUUUGGAUUUUAAAAUAAAAAGGUAGCAGAAGACAGCUGCUGGUGGAUGAAGCAGGAUUCCAAGCUCAAAAUAGAACUGGCUGUGACUUAGAUAAAUUCAUUUAAGUAAAUGGUAAACCCAGCUGUGAGGGAUGAAAUUUUUCUUGCAAACACUGUUAGUAUGGUGUGUGAAAAAUAAUAAAAAAAAACCAACAUAAAAAAACCCCAAACACCCUCUCCCCCCAAAAAUCCCCAAACAAACAAACCAAAACCAAACCAAAACUAAGAGGGGGAAAAAGCAUUUAAGCUGGAAACUAGAAACAUCUGAACAAUGCCUGAGAAAUUGGUGAGAUAUGGGUUCUGCCUGCUAAUUUUUUAAUUGAAAUUUCAGAUAGAUACAUCUGAACCACCUUUAAAUUAGAUGGCUAACAGUGGUAACCUACAUACAGCUUGGAUUCUGAAAUGAGCUGACUGUGGGACCAGAAUGUAUUUACUCUGCUGUUAAG
Falco tinnunculus (common kestrel) is the source of this 4527-nucleotide long non-coding RNA. The record is from Ensembl. NCBI's taxonomy places the organism in Eukaryota, Metazoa, Chordata, Aves, Falconiformes, Falconidae.